Dendrobium catenatum is the source of this 107-nucleotide small nucleolar RNA. Lineage: Eukaryota; Viridiplantae; Streptophyta; Magnoliopsida; Asparagales; Orchidaceae. The record is from RefSeq and is a predicted model, not a curated record.
AGGGCAUAAUGAGGACAUUUUCUAAGAAGUUCCUUAAAUCUUUCCCAUGUUUCAUAAAUAGAUCCAACAUUUAAUUGGGCAAAAUAAGUAACAUCAUUUCUAAGUUU